UCUCCUACGGGGCGCAGCAGUGGGGAAUAUUGCACAAUGGGGGAAACCCUGAUGCAGCGACGCCGCGUGAGUGAAGAAGUAAUUCGUUAUGUAAAGCUCUAUCAGCAGGGAAGAAAAUGACGGUACCCAAGGAAUAAGCCCCGGCUAACUACGUGCCAGUAGCCGCGGUAAUACGUAGGGGGCAAGCGUUGUUCGGAAUGACUGGGCGUAAAGGGUGUGUAGGCGGUGUAGCAAGUUAGAAGUGAAAUACCUAGAGCUUAACUCAGGUGCUGCUUCUAAAACUGCUAUACUU
This 292-nucleotide ribosomal RNA is filed under the name uncultured bacterium. RNAcentral's name for it is "partial 16S ribosomal RNA". It matches the Rfam family "Bacterial small subunit ribosomal RNA", at positions 335 to 643 of the family's 1533-position model. The record is from RNAcentral.